CUCCUUUUUCUCAAUACAUGUUUUCAUACGUUGACCACUUAUCUCUUGCCCCUGCCUUUCGGUUCUAGCCACUGACUGGCCUUAUUUCAGUGACAUUUUAUGAAUCAGAGGAAAAAAAAGAGAGUAGAAAAGACGUAAAAUGGGGUAAACAGUAGUUGAUUACUAAGCUCCAGUCUUUAACACAACAAUCAGACACAUAAGCUUCAUAAUUCAGCAUAUGCAUGCAGUAGCACAACUAAUAAACAGAACAGAAGCAGAAAUUCUACAAAUUCCUCUCAUGCAUGAUCCAUCAAUAAUUUUGAAACCAUUACCAUCUAUGAUGCAAGUGUGCCUGUUUGAGCAUCAUAUGUUAAGUAUUAAAAAUAUAUUUGAUCUGUUGGUUCAAGUUCCACAUAAAGUAUGAUUUUAACUUGAAACAUACUAGUUAUAUGGUUUAGAAUAGAGAACAAAAACACUCCGGCAAGAAUGAGCCAAAAAUAUGUCAAAACAGUAUCAUAUACUACAGAAUCAUGUUUUCUUGAUUUGACAGUUCUUUUCUCAUAUGCACUACAGGAAAAAGUAGCAUGAAAAGAAUUGCAAAAUAGCAAGAAAUUAUUAAAUCGAGAAAUUUAAAGCAGCAGUUUUCAAUCUGAUUUUAAGUUAAGAGGAGCAAUUAUCUACUUACAAUUUUGGCAAUGUUAAUAAAUAAUCCUGAAAAGACUUGUAGCCGAGUGAAAGCAGCACAUGGGAGGGAAGGCCAUGCAUAGUCACCUUCAGUUCAAAAUAGGCCACUUGGUGCAUACGGUUGGUCCACUUUACCAUUCUCAGAUAGGCCACUUGGUGCAUACGGUUGGUCCACUUUACCAUUCUCAGCAAUGUCUGGUGGACCACUGCGACAUACAAUGAGCAUGCACAAUAGGAAGUUGGUCAGCUGGUCCAUCCAUAUUACUUGUAGUAUCUUGCUUAUUUUGUAGUUCCAA
This 959-nucleotide long non-coding RNA is filed under the name Musa acuminata (dwarf banana). RNAcentral describes it as "long non-coding RNA (MACU_LNC005971)". The record is from RNAcentral. Lineage: Eukaryota; Viridiplantae; Streptophyta; Magnoliopsida; Zingiberales; Musaceae.